GGGGAAGAGUAUUUUUUGUUUUUCUUUUUGGUUCACAAAGAACCUCAUAAGAUUGGUGUAGACUUCUGUCUCAUGAGAUGUUGUCCACACUGCCUGCGGAGCCUUGAAAACAAUAUAAGGGUCAACGAACCCAAUACUAUUGUCAUUUCUGAUUCUGAUCUCUCUCAUUUGGUGCCUGCAUAUAUACAUACAAAUCCUAAGUGUGUAAGGAUUAUAUACAUGUAAUUAAAGAAGUUAGAAGUUUAAUAAAAAGAAAGAAAUACUUACAGACAAAAGCAGCUGACAAGAGAUUUGUCGAGAGCGUCGAGGUGACAUAAUUGGUGCAAUUCUCUGAACUGCACAUAUAUGAGGUCAUCUCCAUGGAAGUAGUGAUGUUGUCUAAUACGAACAGAAAUCCAAUUAUCUCCCUUUUAGACGCCUCAAUGCACCACUUGUUUAUUGCAAACAUUUGUGUGCCGAGCUUAUGUAAACGCUGAGGGUUGAAUAGACUUCUGCCCGGUUCAUAUCUUGCCCUCCAUUGAUCAACUACCUCAGCUUUUUCAAAUGUUUGACAUCCAAUAAUGGCGGCAAUGUCUUCAAUAUUUAAACCGCUCUGUCCAAAGUAAUGCUCAAGCGAAUCUAGCUCAGACAACGCU
RNAcentral lists this long non-coding RNA (635 nucleotides) under Sorghum bicolor (sorghum). RNAcentral's name for it is "long non-coding RNA (SBIC_LNC005355)". Lineage: Eukaryota; Viridiplantae; Streptophyta; Magnoliopsida; Poales; Poaceae. The record is from RNAcentral.